This 261-nucleotide ribosomal RNA is filed under the name uncultured bacterium. RNAcentral describes it as "partial 16S ribosomal RNA". It matches the Rfam family "Bacterial small subunit ribosomal RNA", at positions 94 to 354 of the family's 1533-position model. The record is from RNAcentral.
UUAGGCGGACGGGGUGAGUAACACGUGAGCAACCUGCCUUCGAGAGGGGAAUAACGGCUGGAAACGGUCGCUAAUACCGCAUAACAUACCGGGAGGACAUCCUGCUGGUAUCAAAGAUUUAUCGCUCGAAGAUGGGCUCGCGUCCGAUUAGGUAGUUGGUGAGGUAACGGCUCACCAAGCCGACGAUCGGUAGCCGGACUGAGAGGUUGAACGGCCACAUUGGGACUGAGACACGGCCCAGACUCCUACGGGAGGCAGCAG